RNAcentral lists this transfer RNA (57 nucleotides) under Bos taurus (domestic cattle). It matches the Rfam family "tRNA", at positions 8 to 63 of the family's 71-position model. Rfam says of the family: Transfer RNA (tRNA) molecules are approximately 80 nucleotides in length. Their secondary structure includes four short double-helical elements and three loops (D, anti-codon, and T loops). Further hydrogen bonds mediate the characteristic L-shaped molecular structure. tRNAs have two regions of fundamental functional importance: the anti-codon, which is responsible for specific mRNA codon recognition, and the 3' end, to which the tRNAs corresponding amino acid is attached (by aminoacyl-tRNA synthetases). tRNAs cope with the degeneracy of the genetic code in two manners: having more than one tRNA (with a specific anti-codon) for a particular amino acid; and 'wobble' base-pairing, i.e. permitting non-standard base-pairing at the 3rd anti-codon position. The record is from Rfam by way of RNAcentral. Lineage: Eukaryota; Metazoa; Chordata; Mammalia; Artiodactyla; Bovidae.
UGGCUCAGACAGUAAAGCGUCUGCCUGCAAUGCAGGAGACCUGGGUUCAAUCCCCGG